UAAGAACCAGUCGGAGUAAUCAAUCCGUCACCGGCAUCCACUUCCUACGGAAUAUCAACACUGAAAUGAAUCAUUUACAUACCCUAUUCAUUAAUAAUGCGAAAGAAACUGACCAAAAAAUUACCGUGGUACUCGUUGACAUGUCGCGUGCAUAAACCUUAUAUUUAAAGUAUCCAAAUCAGUUAAUCAAUCAACAUAAAAUUAAAAAAACAAAAAAAAUUAAAAAAAUGGAUCAAUGCCUCAUCACUUAUUGAGAAAUGCAUGUUUCCAUAUGAGGCAUCAUUAGGG
Molecule: long non-coding RNA, 288 nt
Filed under: Linum usitatissimum (flax)
Lineage: Eukaryota; Viridiplantae; Streptophyta; Magnoliopsida; Malpighiales; Linaceae
Description: long non-coding RNA (LUSI_LNC005708)
Source: RNAcentral